AUUGUCCAUCUUCUUCUUCUGGAAACACCAGUGAACGAAAAUAAAAUUCAUCUUCUUCUUCAGUUAAUUUCGGAUUCUUGUUACGAAAAUGGAGUUUGGUUGAAGACGUAGUUGAGUUGAGGUGCGUCUCCAUUUGAGUUUCCAGUUGAAGUCGGUGGUUCCGUUGAAGUUUCUUGUUGAAAUCCCUGGGCUUGUGCAUCAAUUGCUCAGUUCCGUUGCUGUAAUUGACGGAAUUUUACUAAUUGAAAAUAUCCCAGGUCACUUCUUUCCCUCGUUUUUUGUGUGAUUAAACUACAAUUUGAUGCCUCAGUUAAAAAAAUUCAGGAAUUGUGUAAUUCAUUAGUUGCUAAGUGAGAUUGCUGCAUAACUUGUAGUUUUAUGGUUUUUGUUUUGAAUUGAAAUGCUAGUAGAUGCGAUUUCGCAAUUUUCGAGCAGCGACGAGUUUGGUUGAACUCUUUUUCAUAAC
This 466-nucleotide long non-coding RNA is filed under the name Nicotiana benthamiana. Its description in RNAcentral is "long non-coding RNA (NBEN_LNC033274)". The record is from RNAcentral. Lineage: Eukaryota; Viridiplantae; Streptophyta; Magnoliopsida; Solanales; Solanaceae.